GAUGAACGCUGGCGGCGUGCCUAAUACAUGCAAGUCGAGCGAACAGAUAAGGAGCUUGCUCCUUUGACGUUAGCGGCGGACGGGUGAGUAACACGUGGAUAACCUACCUAUAAGACUGGGAUAACUUCGGGAAACCGGAGCUAAUACCGGAUAACAUAUUGAACCGCAUGGUUCAAUAGUGAAAGGCGGCUUUGCUGUCACUUAUAGAUGGAUCCGCGCCGUAUUAGCUAGUUGGUAAGGUAACGGCUUACCAAGGCAACGAUACGUAGCCGACCUGAGAGGGUGAUCGGCCACACUGGAACUGAGACACGGUCCAGAUUCCUACGGGAGGCAGCAGUAGGGAAUCUUCCGCAAUGGGCGAAAGCCUGACGGAGCAACGCCGCGUGAGUGAUGAAGGUCUUCGGAUCGUAAAACUCUGUUAUCAGGGAAGAACAAAUGUGUAAGUAACUGUGCACAUCUUGACGGUACCUGAUCAGAAAGCCACGGCUAACUACGUG
This 497-nucleotide ribosomal RNA is filed under the name uncultured bacterium. Its description in RNAcentral is "partial 16S ribosomal RNA". It matches the Rfam family "Bacterial small subunit ribosomal RNA", at positions 28 to 507 of the family's 1533-position model. The record is from RNAcentral.